Cyprinus carpio carpio is the source of this 2614-nucleotide long non-coding RNA. The record is from Ensembl. NCBI's taxonomy places the organism in Eukaryota, Metazoa, Chordata, Actinopteri, Cypriniformes, Cyprinidae.
GUGCUGUGGCACUGGCUGGGGACAAACUGCUGCAUGCGCAGCUCCUCGUUAGUAUAGUGGACAGUAUCUCCGCCUGUCACGCGGAAGACCGGGGUUCGAUUCCCCGACGGGGAGAGCUAGCUCUUUUCUGCUUGCUGGACGACCAAUCCAAAAGUUUUUUUGGCGCAACCACGGGCUCACAGAAGGAGUACGGCUACGAUGUCAGCCCGAGCCAAAGGAAAUGCGUUGGCCGGGAAUCGAACCCGGGUCAACUGCUUGGAAGGCAGCUAUGCUCACCACUAUACCACCAACGCAGGCAGAAGGUGCCAGAAAUACAGGUCACUCACAAAAGCUCCCCUUCACGGAAAUCUUUAGUAAAAGGCGAAAGAUUUAUGCGACAAUGAAGAGAAACUCGAGCUGUAUCCCCACCCCCUUGGGCCUGUGCGCUGCCAGUGGUAAGCCACUAUUCUCACCUAGGGUCAUCAAUGGUGAAGACACCUGCCCACAUGCAUUUCGUCACCCCCUCACUCCAAAGGGGAGGAGUAAAGGUCACAAAAAAUUCCCGUCAGUCACCUAAUGACCACAAGCCAAAUCAAUCAGAAUCAGAAUGAGCUUUAUUGCCAGGUAUGUUUUACACAUACGAGAAAUUUGUUUUUCGUGACAGAAGCAAAUCAAGGCAAUGCAAUCCCUUUCUCAUGCCUCCAUCUGAAAAGUUGGAGGAAAAAAUAAAUAAAUAAAAGAGUCCAAAUAAUGACCCCUAUAACAUAUAGUGUUCCAAAUGUUAAGCGACUUCAGCUUAUGAUGGGUCCAACUGGUAUUUUAUGGUGUAAGGGCUGUGUCGGCAUAAGAAAAAAAGCCAUGCUUUGUUUAGUGAUGUCAGUGCUGUGGCACUGGCUGGGGACAAACUGCUGCAUGCGCAGCUCCUCGUUAGUAUAGUGGACAGUAUCUCCGCCUGUCACGCGGAAGACCGGGGUUCGAUUCCCCGACGGGGAGAGCUAGCUCUUUUCUGCUUGCUGGACGACCAAUCCAAAAGUUUUUGGCGCAACCACGGCUCACAGAAGGAGUACGGCUACGAUGUCAGCCCGAGCCAAAGGAAAUGCGUUGGCCGGGAAUCGAACCCGGGUCAACUGCUUGGAAGGCAGCUAUGCUCACCACUAUACCACCAACGCAGGCAGAAGGUGCCAGAAAUAGAGGUCACUCACAAAAGCUCCCCUUCACGGAAAGACAGCUAUGCUCACCACUAUACCUCCGGCGCAGGCAGAAGACACCAACUUGCGCUGUCAGUAAGAAGGCUCGAAGCGCAUGAGUCAAUGAUAGGGCUAGAGGAGCUAAUGAGAUCUUUGUUUGGACCCGUCAGUAAAGAGAGCAGUCCAGAGUUUGGAUCCCGUCACGUACAAAAAGCGCUGUCUUUCCAUACUGGCUAAAUAAAUACAAAGUGGUGACGCCGGAAACACAGAGGCUGCAAACACAGACGAUGACCAGUUGCACGUCCUCCCACCGUGUGUUGGCAGAUGGCCAAAUUCACUCUGCUCUUGACAUUCCGGUGUAGCUCUGCUGUGAGCAGAGCCCCCAAAAAAAUACAGGUCACUCGCAAAAGCUCCCCUCCACGGAAAUCUUAGUAAAAGGCGAAAGAUUUAUGCGACAAUGAAGAGAAACUCGAGCUGUAUCCCCACCCCCCUUGGGCCUGUGCGCUGCCAGUGGUAAGCCACUAUUCUCACCUAGGGUCAUCAAUGGUGAAGACACCUGCCCACAUGCAUUUCGUCACCCCCUCACUCCAAAGGGGAGGAGUAAAGGUCACAAAAAAUUCCCGUCAGUCACCUAAUGACCACAAGCCAAAUCAAUCAGAAUCAGAAUGAGCUUUAUUGCCAGGUAUGUUUACACAUACGAGAAAUUUGUUUUCGUGACAGAAGCAAAUCAAGGCAAUGCAAUCCCUUUCUCAUGCCUCCAUCUGAAAAGUUGGAGGAAAAAAAUAAAUAAAUAAAAGAGUCCAAAUAAUGACCCCUAUAACAUAUAGUGUUCCAAAUGUUAAGCGACUUCAGCUUAUGAUGGGUCCAACUGGUAUUUUAUGGUGUAAGGGCUGUGUCGGCAUAAGAAAAAGCCAUGCUUUGUUUAGUGAUGUCAGUGCUGUGGCACUGGCUGGGGACAAACUGCUGCAUGCGCAGCUCCUCGUUAGUAUAGUGGACAGUAUCUCUGCCUGUCACGCGAAGGCCAGUCGCGGAUAGGUGUAGAACGCUGACUAGCCAAUAGGAACGAAGGAAAUUCCAGGGAGGCGGGACGAGUAAAAUACACACAAUUAGAGGUUCGAAUCCCGCCUCGGCCACAAAUACCAUAUAGUGAGUUCGUGUUCGUUUUUCAUCUAGAAACACUUUAAGUUCGAUUAGCAUAUAAUAAACGAACUUUGUGAACAAAGAUAAAAUCAAUCUUGUAAUAAUUGUUCAUUUGUAGGAUGUACAAAAUGUGCAACGAUCUUAAUAAACAUUUACAUUAUAAUAGGGAAUAGUUAUUUUUAAUAUAGAACAAUUUUAAUAAUUAAAAAGAACAUUUUGAUAAUGUUUCAGGCCUUUAUUUUUAAAGAGACAUUCAUUUUAUAUUUGUAUAACUGUGUACAGAAAACCCAUAUAUAUGAAAUAUAACC